RNAcentral lists this transfer-messenger RNA (343 nucleotides) under human gut metagenome. It matches the Rfam family "transfer-messenger RNA". Rfam says of the family: Bacterial tmRNA, also known as 10Sa RNA or SsrA, is named for its dual tRNA and mRNA-like properties. Its role is to liberate the mRNA from a stalled ribosome. The record is from RNAcentral.
GGGGGUGUACUGGUUUCGACAGGAGCAGGUGUAUCAUAAAUAGCGAGCCGGGGUUCCAUUUGCCCGUAAUACGGUGGAUCUUAAACACAAACGCAAAAGAAAAUUUUGCUUUAGCUGCAUAGCUAACGUCUGACAUUGCUUUUCCUGCAGGCAGUGUUAAGGCGUCAAAUCGCAGGAUACUUUGGCAGUAUGGUUCGGUGCUGUCAGGGGAAUGCUACGGACUGGAACGGUCUAGUUUGUUUAUGUACGAAACCCGUUUGAGAUAAUAAAACAUAAACUGCGCUCGGAGAAGUUUAUGGGGCAAUGCUUUUGGACAGGAGUUCGAUUCUCCUCACCUCCACCA